This 75-nucleotide transfer RNA is filed under the name bacterium. RNAcentral describes it as "tRNA-Gly". It matches the Rfam family "tRNA". Rfam says of the family: Transfer RNA (tRNA) molecules are approximately 80 nucleotides in length. Their secondary structure includes four short double-helical elements and three loops (D, anti-codon, and T loops). Further hydrogen bonds mediate the characteristic L-shaped molecular structure. tRNAs have two regions of fundamental functional importance: the anti-codon, which is responsible for specific mRNA codon recognition, and the 3' end, to which the tRNAs corresponding amino acid is attached (by aminoacyl-tRNA synthetases). tRNAs cope with the degeneracy of the genetic code in two manners: having more than one tRNA (with a specific anti-codon) for a particular amino acid; and 'wobble' base-pairing, i.e. permitting non-standard base-pairing at the 3rd anti-codon position. The record is from RNAcentral.
GCGGGAUUCGUAUAGUGGCUAGUAUGCCACCCUUCCAAGGUGGAGGCGAGGGUUCGAUUCCCUUAUCCCGCUCCA